This 177-nucleotide ribosomal RNA is filed under the name uncultured bacterium. Its description in RNAcentral is "partial 16S ribosomal RNA". It matches the Rfam family "Bacterial small subunit ribosomal RNA", at positions 1315 to 1500 of the family's 1533-position model. The record is from RNAcentral.
ACUCCAUGAAGCUGGAUUCGCUGUAAUCGCGCAUCAGCCACGGCGCGGUGAAUACGUUCCCGGGCCUUGUACACACCGCCCGUCAAGCCAUGGAAGCCGGGGGUGCCUGAAGUGCGCUGCCGCAAGGAGCGCCCUAGGGUAAAACCGGUGACUGGGGCUAAGUCGUAACAAGGUAAC